CCCUUUACAAGGAGGAGCAGGCGCGCAAUUACCCAAUCCUGACUCAGGGAGGUAGUGACAAGAAAUAACAAUAAACCGGCUUAUGCCGGUUUAAUUGGAAUGAGUACAAUUUAAACAUCUUAACGAGGAACAAUUGGAGGGCAAGUCUGGUGCCAGCAGCCGCGGUAAUUCCAGCUCCAAUAGCGUAUACUAAAGUUGUUGCAGUUAAAAAGCUCGUAGUUGGAUUUCUGUGGGGACGGAGCGGCCGGCCGCACAUCGCGGUUCGAGCUAGCGCUUUCCCUACAUCCUGCCGCGAACCGUGCUACCAUUAAUUUGGUGGCGCCGGGGAUCGGCUCGAUUACUUUGAGAAAAAUAGAGUGUUCAAAGCAGGCCACAUGCCUUGAAUAAGUUAGCAUGGAAUAAUAACUAAGGACUUCGGUUCUAUUUUGUUGGUGUUCGGGACUGAAGUAAUGAUUGAUAGGGACAGUUGGGGCGGUCUGUAUUCCAAAGCGAGAGGUGAAAUUCUUAGACCUUCGGAAGACAAACAGCUGCGAAAGCGUUCCGCAAGGAUGUUCCCUUUGAUCAAGAACGAAAGUUGGGGGAUCGAAGACGAUCAGAUACCGUCGUAGUCUCAACUAUAAACUAUACCAGCUAGGGAUCGGCCAACGUUAUUUUAUACCGACUUGGUCGGCACCUUAUGAGAAAUCAAAGCAUCUGGGUUCCGGGGGGAGUAUGGUCGCAAGGCUGAAACUUAAAGGAAUUGACGGAAGGGCACCACCAGCCGUGGAGCCUGUGGCUUAAUUUGACUCAACACGGGAAAACUUACCAGGUCCAGACAUAGUAAGGAUUGACAGAUUGAUAGCUCUUUCUUGAUUCUGUGGGUGGUGGUGCAUGGCCGUUCUUAGUUGGUGGAGUGAUUUGUCUGGUUAAUUCCGUUAACGAACGAGACCCCAGCCUGCUAAAUAGCGCGCGUGAGCUUUGCUCGCGGCGAGCUUCUUAGAGGGACUAUGAUGCGCGAUAGCACAUGGAAGUUUGGGGCAAUAACAGGUCUGUGAUGCCCUUAGAUGUUCUGGGCCGCACACGGGCUACACUGGCGCCUGCAACGAGCAUAUCAGCUGGUCCGAGAGGAUCUUGGCUAAUCUUUUGAACCGGCGCCGUGCUUGGGAUUGACCUUUGCAAUUGUUGGUCAUGCAACGAGGAAUGCCUUGUAAACGCGAGUCAUCAGCUCGCAUUGAAUACGUCCCUGCCCUUUGUACACACCGCCCGUCGCUCCUACCGAUGAAUGUUCCGAUGAAAUUUUCGGAGAGCGCCUGUGAACUUGGCUCUGCCUUGCGAACGGGAAGCUCAAAGUCACUAAAUCUGAACCAUCAAG
RNAcentral lists this ribosomal RNA (1351 nucleotides) under uncultured marine eukaryote. RNAcentral describes it as "SSU rRNA". It matches the Rfam family "Eukaryotic small subunit ribosomal RNA", at positions 410 to 1777 of the family's 1831-position model. The record is from RNAcentral.